CCUACGGGGGGCUGCAGUGGGGAAUAUUGGACAAUGGGCGAAAGCCUGAUCCAGCCGUGCCGCGUGUGUGAAGAAGGCCUUCGGGUUGUAAAGCACUUUCAGUGGGGAAGAAAGCCUUGGGGCUAAUACCCUCGAGGAAGGACAUCACCCACAGAAGAAGCACCGGCUAACUCCGUGCCAGCAGCCGCGGUAAUACGGAGGGUGCGAGCGUUAAUCGGAAUUACUGGGCGUAAAGCGCGCGUAGGCGGUCUGAUAAGCCGGUUGUGAAAGCCCCGGGCUCAACCUGGGAACGGCAUCCGGAACUGUCAGGCUAGAGUGCAGGAGAGGAAGGUAGAAUUCACGGUGUAGCGGUGAAAUGCGUAGAGAUCGGGAGGAAUACCAGUGGCGAAGGCGGCCUUCUGGACUGACACUGACGCUGAGGUGCGAAAGCGUGGGUAGCAAACAGGAGUAGAUACCCGGGUAGUC
RNAcentral lists this ribosomal RNA (465 nucleotides) under Vreelandella stevensii. Its description in RNAcentral is "partial 16S ribosomal RNA". It matches the Rfam family "Bacterial small subunit ribosomal RNA", at positions 338 to 795 of the family's 1533-position model. Lineage: Bacteria; Pseudomonadati; Pseudomonadota; Gammaproteobacteria; Oceanospirillales; Halomonadaceae. The record is from RNAcentral.